GCUGGUUGAGGAUUGGCCAAGUGU
RNAcentral lists this microRNA (24 nucleotides) under Cordylochernes scorpioides. Lineage: Eukaryota; Metazoa; Arthropoda; Arachnida; Pseudoscorpiones; Chernetidae. The record is from RNAcentral.